GUGAAUCAUCGAAUUUUUGAACGCAAAUUGCACUCUCUGGUAUUCCGGAGAGUAUGCCUGUUUGAGGGUCAGUUAAAUAAAAAUCGGGGUUUUUUUUCCGCUUUGCGUAGUGACGCCUCGGGUUUGGUUCUUCUUACCUUCGGUUAAUUGACCUAAAAUUUUGCAUGAUUUUCGAACGUAUUUAAAUAUUUUUCAUAUGUUUGUAAUUUCGGAUAUUAGGUUUGAUCAUUCUCAUAAUUCU
This 241-nucleotide unclassified non-coding RNA is filed under the name Glomeraceae sp. RNAcentral's name for it is "partial contains 5.8S ribosomal RNA and internal transcribed spacer 2". The stretch from base 1 to 71 matches the Rfam family "5.8S ribosomal RNA", at positions 84 to 154 of the family's 154-position model. Lineage: Eukaryota; Fungi; Glomeromycota; Glomeromycetes; Glomerales; Glomeraceae. The record is from RNAcentral.